UACGUAGGAGGCAAGCGUUGUCCGGAAUUACUGGGCGUAAAGCGCACGCAGGCGGUUCGCCAAGUUUGGAGUGACAGUUGUCGGCUCAACCGACAAAGGACUUCAAAAACUGGUGAACUUGAGGACGAGAGAGGAACAUGGAACUCCAGGUGUAGUAGUGAAAUGCGUAGAUAUCUGGAAGAACACCAAUGGCGAAGGCAAUGUUCUGGCUCGUUUCUGACGCUCAGGUGCGAAAGCCAGGGGAGCGAACGGG
This 253-nucleotide ribosomal RNA is filed under the name uncultured bacterium. RNAcentral's name for it is "partial 16S ribosomal RNA". It matches the Rfam family "Bacterial small subunit ribosomal RNA", at positions 524 to 776 of the family's 1533-position model. The record is from RNAcentral.